UCCCAGCUGGCUCAGUUGGUAAAGAGUCUGGCUGCAAUGCAGGAGACCCAGGUUCGAUCCCUGGGUUGGGAA
Molecule: transfer RNA, 72 nt
Filed under: Ovis aries (sheep)
Lineage: Eukaryota; Metazoa; Chordata; Mammalia; Artiodactyla; Bovidae
Rfam family: tRNA
About the family: Transfer RNA (tRNA) molecules are approximately 80 nucleotides in length. Their secondary structure includes four short double-helical elements and three loops (D, anti-codon, and T loops). Further hydrogen bonds mediate the characteristic L-shaped molecular structure. tRNAs have two regions of fundamental functional importance: the anti-codon, which is responsible for specific mRNA codon recognition, and the 3' end, to which the tRNAs corresponding amino acid is attached (by aminoacyl-tRNA synthetases). tRNAs cope with the degeneracy of the genetic code in two manners: having more than one tRNA (with a specific anti-codon) for a particular amino acid; and 'wobble' base-pairing, i.e. permitting non-standard base-pairing at the 3rd anti-codon position.
Source: Rfam by way of RNAcentral